UACGUAGGUGGCGAGCGUUAUCCGGAAUUAUUGGGCGUAAAGAGCGCGCAGGUGGUUGAUUAAGUCUGAUGUGAAAGCCCACGGCUUAACCGUGGAGGGUCAUUGGAAACUGGUCGACUUGAGUGCAGAAGAGGGAAGUGGAAUUCCAUGUGUAGCGGUGAAAUGCGUAGAGAUAUGGAGGAACACCAGUUGCGAAGGCGGCUUCCUGGUCUGUAACUGACACUGAGGCGCGAAAGCGUGGGGAGCAAACAGGAUUAGAUA
RNAcentral lists this ribosomal RNA (261 nucleotides) under uncultured prokaryote. RNAcentral describes it as "partial 16S ribosomal RNA". It matches the Rfam family "Bacterial small subunit ribosomal RNA", at positions 524 to 784 of the family's 1533-position model. The record is from RNAcentral.